This 448-nucleotide ribosomal RNA is filed under the name uncultured soil bacterium. RNAcentral describes it as "bacterial SSU rRNA". It matches the Rfam family "Bacterial small subunit ribosomal RNA", at positions 26 to 518 of the family's 1533-position model. The record is from RNAcentral.
AGAACGAACGCUGGCGGCAUGCCUAACACAUGCAAGUCGAACGAACCCUUCGGGGUUAGUGGCGCACGGGUGCGUAACGCGUGGGAACCUACCAUCAGGUUCGGAAUAACAGUUAGAAAUGACUGCUAUUACCGGAUAAUGUCUUCGGACCAAAGAUUUAUCGCCUUUUGAUGGGCCCGCGUUGGAUUAGCUAGUUGGUAAGGUAAAGCUUACCAAGGCGACGAUCCAUAGCUGGUCUGAGAGGAUGAUCAGCCACACUGGGACUGAGACACGGCCCAGACUCCUACGGGAGGCAGCAGUGGGGAAUAUUGGACAAUGGGCGAAAGCCUGAUCCAGCAAUGCCGCGUGAGUGAUGAAGGCCUUAGGGUUGUAAAGCUCUUUUACGUGGGGUAUGAUAAUGACAGUACCCAGAGAAUAAGCUCCGGCUAACUCCGUGCCAGCAGCCGAC